ACCUCCGGGGGCAAGAGGUUCGACUCGAGCGAAGCGAGAGAACGUUGCGUCAGCAACGGCCCGCAGAGCGAGCCACGCAGUGGCGAGUCAUCCUCUAUCACCGACCA
Molecule: small RNA, 107 nt
Filed under: Salmonella enterica subsp. enterica serovar Enteritidis
Lineage: Bacteria; Pseudomonadati; Pseudomonadota; Gammaproteobacteria; Enterobacterales; Enterobacteriaceae
Description: partial RtT sRNA
Rfam family: RtT RNA
About the family: This family represents a bacterial cis-regulatory element known as RtT RNA. The exact function of RtT is unknown although it is thought that it may be involved in changing the cellular response in relation to amino acid starvation.
Source: RNAcentral